AGAUGGGAGCUUGCUCCCUGAUGUUAGCGGCGGACGGGUGAGUAACACGUGGGUAACCUGCCUGUAAGACUGGGAUAACUCCGGGAAACCGGGGCUAAUACCGGAUGGUUGUUUGAACCGCAUGGUUCAAACAUAAAAGGUGGCUUCGGCUACCACUUACAGAUGGACCCGCGGCGCAUUAGCUAGUUGGUGAGGUAACGGCUCACCAAGGCAACGAUGCGUAGCCGACCUGAGAGGGUGAUCGGCCACACUGGGACUGAAACACGGCCCAGACUCCUACGGGAGGCAGCAGUAGGGAAUCUUCCGCAAUGGACGAAAGUCUGACGGAGCAACGCCGCGUGAGUGAUGAAGGUUUUCGGAUCGUAAAGCUCUGUUGUUAGGGAAGAACAAGUACCGUUCGAAUAGGGCGGUACCUUGACGGUACCUAACCAGAAAGCCACGGCUAACUACGUGCCAGCAGCCGCGGUAAUACGUAGGUGGCAAGCGUUGUCCGGAAUUAUUGGGCGUAAAGGGCUCGCAGGCGGUUUCUUAAGUCUGAUGUGAAAGCCCCCGGCUCAACCGGGGAGGGUCAUUGGAAACUGGGGAACUUGAGUGCAGAAGAGGAGAGUGGAAUUCCACGUGUAGCGGUGAAAUGCGUAGAGAUGUGGAGGAACACCAGUGGCGAAGGCGACUCUCUGGUCUGUAACUGACGCUGAGGAGCGAAAGCGUGGGGAGCGAACAGGAUUAGAUACCCUGGUAGUCCACGCCGUAAACGAUGAGUGCUAAGUGUUAGGGGGUUUCCGCCCCUUAGUGCUGCAGCUAACGCAUUAAGCACUCCGCCUGGGGAGUACGGUCGCAAGACUGAAACUCAAAGGAAUUGACGGGGGCCCGCACAAGCGGUGGAGCAUGUGGUUUAAUUCGAAGCAACGCGAAGAACCUUACCAGGUCUUGACAUCCUCUGACAAUCCUAGAGAUAGGACGUCCCCUUCGGGGGCAGAGUGACAGGUGGUGCAUGGUUGUCGUCAGCUCGUGUCGUGAGAUGUUGGGUUAAGUCCCGCAACGAGCGCAACCCUUGAUCUUAGUUGCCAGCAUUCAGUUGGGCACUCUAAGGUGACUGCCGGUGACAAACCGGAGGAAGGUGGGGAUGACGUCAAAUCAUCAUGCCCCUUAUGACCUGGGCUACACACGUGCUACAAUGGACAGAACAAAGGGCAGCGAAACCGCGAGGUUAAGCCAAUCCCACAAAUCUGUUCUCAGUUCGGAUCGCAGUCUGCAACUCGACUGCGUGAAGCUGGAAUCGCUAGUAAUCGCGGAUCAGCAUGCCGC
This 1305-nucleotide ribosomal RNA is filed under the name Bacillus sp. SB14-02. Its description in RNAcentral is "bacterial SSU rRNA". It matches the Rfam family "Bacterial small subunit ribosomal RNA", at positions 70 to 1360 of the family's 1533-position model. The record is from RNAcentral. Lineage: Bacteria; Bacillati; Bacillota; Bacilli; Caryophanales; Bacillaceae.